RNAcentral lists this ribosomal RNA (541 nucleotides) under Mycolicibacterium madagascariense. Its description in RNAcentral is "bacterial SSU rRNA". It matches the Rfam family "Bacterial small subunit ribosomal RNA", at positions 44 to 601 of the family's 1533-position model. The record is from RNAcentral. Lineage: Bacteria; Bacillati; Actinomycetota; Actinomycetes; Mycobacteriales; Mycobacteriaceae.
GUGCUUAACACAUGCAAGUCGAACGGAAAGGCCCUUCGGGGUACUCGAGUGGCGAACGGGUGAGUAACACGUGGGUGAUCUGCCCUGCACUUUGGGAUAAGCCUGGGAAACUGGGUCUAAUACCGAAUACACCCUGCUGGUCGCAUGGCCUGGUGGGGGAAAGCUUUUGCGGUGUGGGAUGGGCCCGCGGCCUAUCAGCUUGUUGGUGGGGUGAUGGCCUACCAAGGCGACGACGGGUAGCCGGCCUGAGAGGGUGUCCGGCCACACUGGGACUGAGAUACGGCCCAGACUCCUACGGGAGGCAGCAGUGGGGAAUAUUGCACAAUGGGCGCAAGCCUGAUGCAGCGACGCCGCGUGAGGGACGACGGCCUUCGGGUUGUAAACCUCUUUCAGCACAGACGAAGCGCAAGUGACGGUAUGUGCAGAAGAAGCACCGGCCAACUACGUGCCAGCAGCCGCGGUAAUACGUAGGGUGCGAGCGUUGUCCGGAAUUACUGGGCGUUAAGAGCUCGUAGUGGUUUGUCGCGUUGUUCGUGAAAUC